GAACGAACGCUGGCGGCGUGCCUAACACAUGCAAGUCGAACGAGAAAGGGGCUUCGGCCCUGGAGUAAACGUGGCGCACGGGUGAGUAACGACGUAGGUAACCUGCCUUUAAGAUUGGAUAACCUGUCGAAGACGAGCUAAUACCGAUAAGACCACGGUGUCUUCGGAGACUGAGGUCAAAGGUAGCCUCGUAUUUAUAAGCUAUCACUUAAAGAUGGGCCUGCGUACCAUUAGCUAGUUGGNGAGGUAACGCUCACCAAGGCAAAGAUGGUUAGCUGGUCUGAGAGGAUGAUCAGCCA
This 299-nucleotide ribosomal RNA is filed under the name uncultured bacterium. Its description in RNAcentral is "partial 16S ribosomal RNA". It matches the Rfam family "Bacterial small subunit ribosomal RNA", at positions 27 to 310 of the family's 1533-position model. The record is from RNAcentral.